RNAcentral lists this ribosomal RNA (794 nucleotides) under uncultured Hebeloma. RNAcentral's name for it is "eukaryotic LSU rRNA". The stretch from base 226 to 379 matches the Rfam family "5.8S ribosomal RNA". Lineage: Eukaryota; Fungi; Basidiomycota; Agaricomycetes; Agaricales; Cortinariaceae. The record is from RNAcentral.
GGUGUGGUUGUUGCUGGUUCUUUCGAGGGCAUGUGCACGCCCACCAUCCUCAUCUCUCCACCUGUGCACCUCUUGUAGACUUGGAUUGACUUUCCGAGGCAACUCGGUCGGGAGGAUUGCCGGCGUCAGCUGGCUUUCUUUGCAUUUCCAGGUCUACGUUUUUCAUAUACCCCAUUGUAUGUAACAGAAUGUAACAUUGGGCCCUUGUGCCUAUAAACYUUAUACAACUUUCAGCAACGGAUCUCUUGGCUCUCGCAUCGAUGAAGAACGCAGCGAAAUGCGAUAAGUAAUGUGAAUUGCAGAAUUCAGUGAAUCAUCGAAUCUUUGAACGCACCUUGCGCUCCUUGGUAUUCCGAGGAGCAUGCCUGUUUGAGUGUCAUUAAAUUCUCAACCWUUAUCACCUUUUGUUGAUAAUGGCUUGGAUAUGGGGGUUUAUUUUGCUGGCUUCUUUACAGAUGGUCAGCUCCCCUUAAAUGCAUUAGCCGGUGCCCCGCGUGGACUGUCUAUUGGUGUGAUAAUUAUCUACGCCGUGGACAUCUGCAAUCAUAUGGGUUUGCACUGCUUCCAACYGUCUGUUSAAUCAGACAAUACAUGACAAUUUGACCUCAAAUCAGGUAGGACUACCCGCUGAACUUAAGCAUAUCAAUAAGCGGAGGAAAAGAAACUAACAAGGAUUCCCCUAGUAACUGCGAGUGAAGCGGGAAAAGCUCAAAUUUAAAAUCUGGCGGUCUCCGGCCGUCCGAGUUGUAAUCUAGAGAAGUGUUAUCCGCGCUGGACCGUGUACAAGUCUCCUG